RNAcentral lists this ribosomal RNA (253 nucleotides) under uncultured bacterium. Its description in RNAcentral is "partial 16S ribosomal RNA". It matches the Rfam family "Bacterial small subunit ribosomal RNA", at positions 524 to 776 of the family's 1533-position model. The record is from RNAcentral.
UACAGAGGUCUCAAGCGUUGUUCGGAUUCAUUGGGCGUAAAGGGUGUGUAGGUGGCGCCGUAAGUCGGGUGUGAAAUUUCGGAGCUUAACUCCGAAACUGCAUUCGAUACUGCGGUGCUUGAGGACUGGAGAGGAGACUGGAAUUCAUGGUGUAGCAGUGAAAUGCGUAGAUAUCGUGAGGAAGACCAGUGGCGUAAGCGAAUCUCUGGACAGUUCCUGACGCUGAGGCACGAAGGCCAGGGGAGCAAACGGG